UAGAGUUUGAUCCUGGCUCAGAAUCAACGCUGGCGGCGCGCCUAACACAUGCAAGUCGCACGAGAAAGCGGGAGCAAUCUCGCAAGUAAAGUGGCGUACGGGUGAGUAACACGUGGAUCAUCUGCCCUGGAGUGGGGAAUAACGCUGGGAAACCGGCGCUAAUACCGCAUAUACCCGAGAGGGGAAAGCAGCAAUGCGCUCG
This 202-nucleotide ribosomal RNA is filed under the name uncultured soil bacterium. Its description in RNAcentral is "partial small subunit ribosomal RNA". It matches the Rfam family "Bacterial small subunit ribosomal RNA", at positions 1 to 221 of the family's 1533-position model. The record is from RNAcentral.